RNAcentral lists this non-coding RNA (45 nucleotides) under Schistosoma mansoni. The record is from RNAcentral. Lineage: Eukaryota; Metazoa; Platyhelminthes; Trematoda; Strigeidida; Schistosomatidae.
AUCUAGCUGACGAGUCCCAAUUCGGACGAAACGUGCGUCCUUGAU